RNAcentral lists this ribosomal RNA (318 nucleotides) under uncultured bacterium. RNAcentral describes it as "partial 16S ribosomal RNA". It matches the Rfam family "Bacterial small subunit ribosomal RNA", at positions 28 to 334 of the family's 1533-position model. The record is from RNAcentral.
GAUGAACGCUAGCGGCAGGCUUAACACAUGCAAGUCGAGGGGCAGCGGGGGGCGCGCUUGCGCGUCCCGCCGGCGACCGGCGCACGGGUGAGUAACACGUAUGCAACCUGCCCCCGCCAGGGGUACAACCCUCCGAAAGGGGGGCUGAUACCGCGUACAUCCCCCGGGGGCAUCCCCGGGGGAGGAAAGCCCUACGGGGCGGGCGGGGAUGGGCAUGCGGCGCAUUAGGAAGACGGCGGUGUGACGGACCACCGUUCCGACGAUGCGUAGGGGUUCUGAGAGGAAGGUCCCCCACAUUGGAACUGAGACACGGUCCAA